Molecule: ribosomal RNA, 500 nt
Filed under: uncultured bacterium
Lineage: Bacteria
Description: partial 16S ribosomal RNA
Rfam family: Bacterial small subunit ribosomal RNA
Source: RNAcentral
AUUGAACGCUGGCGGAAUGCUUUACACAUGCAAGUCGAACGGCAGCACGGACUUCGGUCUGGUGGCGAGUGGCGAACGGGUGAGUAAUGUAUCGGAACGUGCCCAGUCGUGAGGGAUAACGUAGUGAAAAUUACGCUAAUACCGCAUACGAUCUAUGGAUGAAAGCGGGGGAUCGCAAGACCUCGCGCGAUUGGAGCGGCCGAUAUCAGAUUAGGUAGUUGGUGGGGUAAAGGCCCACCAAGCCAACGAUCUGUAGCUGGUCAGAGAGGACGACCAGCCACACUGGAACUGAGACACGGUCCAGAAUCCUACGGGAGGCAGCAGUGGGGAAUUUUGGACAAUGGGCGAAAGCCUGAUCCAGCCAUUCCGCGUGCAGGAUGAAGGCCCUCGGGUUGUAAACUGCUUUUGUACAGAACGAAAAGGUUUCUACUAAUACUAGGAGCUCAUGACGGUACUGUAAGAAUAAGCACCGGCUAACUACGUGCCAGCCGCCGCAGUAA